AACGAACGCUGGCGGCAUGCCUAACACAUGCAAGUCGAACGAGACCUUCGGGUCUAGUGGCGCACGGGUGCGUAACGCGUGGGAACCUGCCCUUAGGUUCGGAAUAACUCCCCGAAAGGGGUGCUAAUACCGGAUAAUGUCUUCGGACCAAAGAUUUAUCGCCUUUGGAUGGGCCCGCGUUGGAUUAGCUAGUUGGUAGGGUAAAAGCCUACCAAGGCGACGAUCCAUAGCUGGUCUGAGAGGAUGAUCAGCCACACUGGGACUGAGACACGGCCCAGACUCCUACGGGAGGCAGAAGUGGGGAAUAUUGGAAAAGGGGCGAAAGCCUGAUCCAGCAAUGCCGCGUGAGUGAUGAAGGCCUUAGGGUUGUAAAGCUCUUUUACCCGGGAUGAUAAUGACAGUACCGGGAGAAUAAGCUCCGGCUAACUCCGUG
Molecule: ribosomal RNA, 433 nt
Filed under: uncultured bacterium
Lineage: Bacteria
Description: partial 16S ribosomal RNA
Rfam family: Bacterial small subunit ribosomal RNA
Source: RNAcentral